GACAAGAUAAGCAUGGCUGGGAAGACUGGGAAUCUGAUGGGAUCCAUUAAGAAUGUCUAUGGAUGGGAAAACUCAAUCUCCUUGGUGGUUAAUGGGCAGAGAUGAUCAGCAAAUCAUUGUUUCUGGCUGGUCAUCUUGUUUUUCAACAGUUAGAAGUUGCCUGCAGUGGAAUAAUAGAACAGCAAGGGAAUUUCCAAAUCAUGGUGUGCCUGCUGCUCCCGGAUGUGUGAGCAAGGAAUCAGCUGUGAUGACUACACAGGGAACUUCUGAUGCGAUCGGAACCUUUGUCUUUUGGUGGUGGUGGUGGUGGUGGUGGUUUUUUUUGUUUGUUUGUUUGUUUUUUUGGUCUUUUAAGAGCAUUCAAAAAAUCCUUGGUUUGACUGCUUUAAUGUUCACAUCCUCUCCCUCUGAUGCUGGCUCAGGAUUUGUGUUUUCUCAGGCCGUGGCUCAGAGCAAUAAAGCCUAGGCCACACCCAGGGGUCAAGUGUUCAGGGGUUUUAUAUCCAGUGUAUGGUGUUUCUAGAUUAAAAUAUUUUCACAGGUAAUAUAAUACAGCCUGCCUCUGUGUGAUUGCAUUCAGUUAUUGCCCGGUAAUCCCAUCGGCUAACUUUAUCUGAGAAAUAGGGGCUGCCCACAAAUGCAGCGCCUGUGACUGUCACCCUAUACCAUUCCAUGUGGCCUCAUCUCCAUAUUGUGAGUGACAGAAGGCAGACAGUCUGAUGGAGCAACAUAUCCAACCAGCACGCCCUUGAGAUCCAGGAGACCUCUCAGAGAUUAGUCUCUCCCUGAGUGGUCAUGAAUUUGAUGAGCAGCUGCCACAAACUAGUCUGACACAGUUUCACAAGUCAAGUGGGGAGGGGCCGGUGCUGUGGCGUAGCUGGUUAAGCUGCUGCCUGCAGUUCGUGGCCUGGUUGCUCCGCUUCCUGUCCAGCUCUCUGCUAAUGCGCCUUGGGAAUGUAGCAGAGGAUGGCCCAAGCAGAUGGAAGACUAUUCUCUCCAUCGCUCCUUCUCUCUUUCUGUAACUCUAAUAAAUAAAAUAUUAAAAAAAAGUCA
Molecule: long non-coding RNA, 1053 nt
Filed under: Oryctolagus cuniculus (rabbit)
Lineage: Eukaryota; Metazoa; Chordata; Mammalia; Lagomorpha; Leporidae
Description: lncRNA (ENSOCUG00000030417.1)
Source: RNAcentral